RNAcentral lists this unclassified non-coding RNA (1545 nucleotides) under Hevea brasiliensis (rubber tree). The record is from RNAcentral. Lineage: Eukaryota; Viridiplantae; Streptophyta; Magnoliopsida; Malpighiales; Euphorbiaceae.
UUUUUUUUUUAAUUUUUUACUUACAUUUGGAGGAUAAUGAACUACCCAUAUUUGUUCUUAGCAUCUGAUACAUGUCUGACAAGAAAAAUCAGUAGAAAGUGAGGAGUGAGAGUGACAUAUUACUGAUACAUAUUACCAUUGUUUUUUACAUGGCAUUUGAUAAAUGUACUUAGUCUACAAUAACCUUCAAACAUGACUCUUCCACUUUUCUAAAGUUGAAGAACAGCAAUACCACAACCAGCCCAACAAUUAUCACAUUCAUUUCUCAUUCUCUUCCUGGGGGCAAGAUGUUGAAAUGAGAAUCAGACAUCAUCUUGUGGAUAUUAUAUCUAUUUAGAUCCAUUACAUCAAGAAGUGUGAAGUCAAGACAGUAAAACCUCCUUGCAUAUACCAUGGUUAUAGAUGCCCUAAAAGAGAAAUGCAAAGUUACUGUCACCAAACUAAAGACAAUAACAAAUUAACAAUACUGCCCUAAAAACUUGGGAUAAGCAUUAUUUUGUUGAGGGCCAUGCAUAGCACAAGUAGUUUUGGAUGGGAUUGAGACUGUAAAAUGGUGAAGACUUUUGGGCAAAUUAUGUCAAUGUAUACACACAUCAUAUAACAUUGUUUACUUAUUUUUAUUUCCCUAAAAAAUAAUGUAAUUAGAGUUUUCUAUUUGAUGAGCUUUAUGCAAGCUCAUCCUGAUAUUUGUCAUUGUUGAGAGGUGGUUGAAAAAUGGAAGUAUUUAGCCACUAUUACCUGAGACAAAAUUCAGUGUUUAUGAAGCAACUGAGAUUGAAUCGAGUGACCGAGCAGGUAAUGUUCUUAAAUCUUGAAGUCAAAAAUCGUAGAGCAAAUAUAAGUUGUUCUAUGAUGCAUUUGGUAUAGCAGUUAGGCAAAUGGCUGACAACAUUGCAAAAGUCUACGCAGAUGAUUCUCAUAAUGUGAGUUGAGAAAAAAAUUUGCAAAAUUUUAUGAGAAUGUAAAUCAACAACCGGACUUUCAUAGGCUUAAGAUGUGCUCAAAAGUGAUGGAAGAAAAUGAUGUGCAAGUUAAUAAUUGUACAAUUGUUUGAGUCGGAUUAGUAUAAUGUGUUAUGUUUAAGUGGUACCUCUUUUGGACUUCUAUCUUGUGAUACUAGUUUAUGUAAUAGAAGGACAUAUGAGUAGGGACUCAUUUUUCUUUGACAUGUAAGCACAAAACUUCUAAUGGGGCUAUGAUGAGUGGAAAUAUAAAUAUAUUUACAUAUCUUUAAUUAUAUGUUAUUCUUUGUAUUUACUUAUUUUUCUAUUCUUUCAUUUACAAUUCUAAAGGAUUGUCCAAAGUUCAUGUCAACCCAAUUUCACUAGAACUGGAAUUGCUAUUCCAAUUCAGCUAUCCAAACAAAGCCUUAAGGAAAUUUGUGAACUUCCAAGGAAAAAGUAUAUAUAUCAAACAGAAGAAUGCAACUUGCUAGUUAAAAGUUUAUUUUAAAGUGUCAUUUCUCGAAAUGAAAUUUCCCAUAAAAAAGGCUUAUGAAAACAAAAUGAGACCUACAUUCAAAAAAAAAAAAGAGAAAGUUCGAAA